This 1220-nucleotide long non-coding RNA is filed under the name Homo sapiens (human). RNAcentral describes it as "long non-coding RNA NONHSAT172742.1". The record is from RNAcentral. Lineage: Eukaryota; Metazoa; Chordata; Mammalia; Primates; Hominidae.
UGGUAUCUUGGCCAAUGAGAUGGGACCAGCACUCUUGUCUGAUGUCUCAUUGGUAGCCUUCAUUAGAGGAGCUUCCUGGGCUGGGAUGAAGCCCAGAGAUGUAAAGACACUUGUUCAAGAGUACACAGCUUCUAGGAGGAAGCACUGGAUUAGAACUGGGUUUCCUGACUCCCUAUCCUUUGCAGCCCACAACUUUGGAGAGCAUAGGUCUCAAAGACCAAGACAGGAACCAGAAGGGGUGGACGGAGUCAUGCUCCAUGGUCUUAAUUGGCUAGCCCACCCUUGCCCUUCCCUCCUUGUCUCUUCUACCAGCUUGUGAGCUCCAGGCGGGCAGGGAUAGUCCUUGUUCAUUUCUCGAUCCCCAAUGUCCAGGAUUAGCACUCACUAAGUGUUGUUGCUGAAAAACUGCAUCAUACAUGGAUGAAAGGAUCACCCAGGGAUGACCUUGACAUCACAAAUAAGGAAGGAACAGGACAGCCUGUGAGGUCACUGCGGUGACCUCCUUCGCAGAGGACCUCUGGUACUGCUCCAGCCACCAGUAAGCCCACUGCCUCUGGGCACUGCUCAAUGCUGCCCUUACCUGGACCCAGACCAUCAAGCUUGUCACAGGCUCCCCCCAGGCAUCCCAGACAUGACAUCCAAGACAGUUUCCUGUUACUCUCCAUCCUGCUGGAGAGUUCCAAUGACCUAUGGCAUGAAUACUCCAGACAAAGUGUUCCAGCCUUCCCCAGAAACCUCAAAAGUCUCUCAGGCACUCCAAGACUUCCAAGGCCAAAAAACUCAAGAUGUCUUUAAACAAGACCAAAGACCCCCUCAGGAAUCUGGCCAAGAAGCCCCCCAAGAAGGCUAGGCCCAGCACUUUUGAGCCUAGAUCUUUCUACUGCCUUGACCUCUGCCCCCUCCCACCAGAGCAGCUACAGGCCCCAGAGCCCCAGUUACCCUUAUCAAUCUCAGAGGCCACAGAUGUCUAUCUCCCUGAGGAUUUCCCAGCUGAGCCCAAGCUCAUGGACCAGUCCUGGGUGUCCAGGAAGAGCCUGAAACCAUCCAAGAGUCAUCUUAUGGAGCCACCCACUCCAGUGGCCAAGCACCAAAAGGCAAAGACCCGACAUAGGAGUGAGAAGAAACAAAACAAAUAAAUGCUUGGCAUCUCCAUCGACCUGGUCCUUUUCAGCCCAGACCUAUCAGCUCCAGACAUCCCAAAACAUCACCCUAUUCCAGAG